This is a long non-coding RNA of Cervus elaphus (red deer), 222 nucleotides long. RefSeq lists it as uncharacterized. NCBI's taxonomy places the organism in Eukaryota, Metazoa, Chordata, Mammalia, Artiodactyla, Cervidae. The transcript has 3 exons. The record is from RefSeq and is a predicted model, not a curated record.
CAGAGGGUGGGGAAACACACUCCAGUGAGAAGGAAGGAGGCGCAGGUGUGAGGAACUGGGAUUCUUCGGGGAAACUUACCACCUACCUAUGAGGAAGCUGAGACUCAGAUAUUCACUUUUGAAUGAACUCUCCUCUGAUCGCUCAGUUUUGUAGUGGCAGAUCCAUGGCCCAGGCCCAGAUCAGAGAGAAGGAAGCAAGAAGGAUCUAAAGUCAAAAGGCAG